UCUUGUGCUUGCUUUGGCAUCACAAGACUGUACUAAAAUUGGAAUAAUACAGAGAAGAUUAGCAUGGCCUCUGAACAGGGAUAACACGCAAAUUCAUGAAACAUUCCAUUUUUUG
Molecule: small nuclear RNA, 115 nt
Filed under: Pteropus vampyrus (large flying fox)
Lineage: Eukaryota; Metazoa; Chordata; Mammalia; Chiroptera; Pteropodidae
Source: RNAcentral